RNAcentral lists this ribosomal RNA (579 nucleotides) under uncultured fungus. Its description in RNAcentral is "eukaryotic LSU rRNA". The stretch from base 178 to 331 matches the Rfam family "5.8S ribosomal RNA". Lineage: Eukaryota; Fungi. The record is from RNAcentral.
AAGGAUCAUUAAUGAUUGCGAAUGGUCGCCUUCGGUGCUGGCUCUUGCAAGUGCACGUUGGUGGCUUUCAUCCAAUACCCCUGUGAACCUUUGGCCUCUUGUUAGCUUCGGCUGGCAGAGGAUUUUUACACACUCGAAUGUAAUGAUAACUAUUGUCGUGCGCAAGCACUAAUGUACAACUUUCAACAACGGAUCUCUUGGCUCUCGCAUCGAUGAAGAACGCAGCGAAAUGCGAUAAGUAAUGUGAAUUGCAGAAUUCAGUGAAUCAUCGAAUCUUUGAACGCACCUUGCACCCUUUGGUAUUCCGAAGGGUAUGCUCGUUUGAGUGUCAUUGUACUCUCACACUCUCUGAUCCUUUGGAUUCAGGGAGCGGUGGACUUUGGGUGCUUGCUGCUUUCGUGGUGGCUCACCUCAAAUGCGUUAGUGCACCUCUUGGUUGGACAUAGUACGGCGUGAUAAGUAUCUUCGCCGGCACCUCGCAAGAGGGUGGCCGAUUGGGAGCUCUGUGCUUUCAAACCGUCUUCGGACAAUUUCUGACAACUUGACCUCAAAUCGAGUAGGACUACCCGCUGAACUUAA